This 305-nucleotide ribosomal RNA is filed under the name uncultured bacterium. Its description in RNAcentral is "partial 16S ribosomal RNA". It matches the Rfam family "Bacterial small subunit ribosomal RNA", at positions 336 to 641 of the family's 1533-position model. The record is from RNAcentral.
UUCCUACGGGAGGCAGCAGUGGGGAAUAUUGCACAAUGGGGGAAACCCUGAUGCAGCGACGCCGCGUGAGUGAAGAAGUAUUUCGGUACGUAAAGCUCUAUCAGCAGGGAAGAAAAAAAGUCCUUUGGACUUUGGACGGUACCUGACCAAGAGGCCCCGGCUAACUACGUGCCAGCAGCCGCGGUAAUACGUAGGGGGCAAGCGUUAUCCAGAUUUACUGGGUGUAAAGGGAGCGUAGACGGCGAUGCAAGUCUGAAGUGAAAGGCGGGGGCCCAACCCCCGGACUGCUUUGGAAACUGUAUAGC